This 109-nucleotide microRNA precursor is filed under the name Canis lupus familiaris (dog). Its description in RNAcentral is "mir-8834 microRNA precursor family". It matches the Rfam family "mir-8834 microRNA precursor family". Lineage: Eukaryota; Metazoa; Chordata; Mammalia; Carnivora; Canidae. RNAcentral also lists the same sequence under 1 other name. The record is from Rfam by way of RNAcentral.
AGGAGGAACAACCACAGUGGCAGGGCCAGGUCUGGAGCCCUGGAUUCAGCUCCCGCAGUAACUCCGGAGCUCUCUGUCUGCUGCAGGGGCCUGGAUGCUCGGGGGUGGG